Molecule: transfer RNA, 71 nt
Filed under: Loxodonta africana (African savanna elephant)
Lineage: Eukaryota; Metazoa; Chordata; Mammalia; Proboscidea; Elephantidae
Rfam family: tRNA
About the family: Transfer RNA (tRNA) molecules are approximately 80 nucleotides in length. Their secondary structure includes four short double-helical elements and three loops (D, anti-codon, and T loops).
Source: Rfam by way of RNAcentral
GCCCUGGUGGCAUGGUGGUUAAGCACUUGGCUGGUAACCAAAAGGUCAGAGGUUCAAACCUAUCAACCGCA